Long non-coding RNA from Piliocolobus tephrosceles (Ugandan red Colobus), 1707 nucleotides. The record is from Ensembl. Lineage: Eukaryota; Metazoa; Chordata; Mammalia; Primates; Cercopithecidae.
CAUGGGAGGGGAGGCCUGGUACUAGGUGGACCUAACCUCUUUGAGGAACCACAGAGCCCAAGGCUGGAAACCUCCAGAAUCCUCCACCCCCGAUCCUCCCUGGGGACCCUGUGGCCUGUCUCACCGAGCUCUCUCCCCAGGGACCCCUGUGGCCUGUCUCACUGAGCACUCUUCCAUCCGUAGAUGUCUCGGCUGCUCUGUGAGGGAGUUCCCUUUCAGGUGUGGGGCUGGGCAUGGUCACUCCUGCUGGAUGUCUAGAUGGUGGAAACCAAGGGCCUAGGGAAAUACCAGGUACAGCCUUUCCAUGCUCAUCCAGCGCAGGACAAACAGGCCAGGCAGCGUCAGGAGCCCAGGUCUCCAGCUGGAGGGAAUGUCAAUCCUGCAGUGGGAACAGGGGCCCAUUGUACAUCCUAGGCACAGACACCACAGAUUAUAAAGGAGAACAGCAAGAGGUCCCCAGGAAACAUCCACAGAUGGCAUUGGAAAUAAGUCACUUUCUGAGAAGCAUGUCAUGUUCUGGGAAGGCUAAGGCAUCAAGUAAGGCCUAUGGGGUUGGAGGAUCCCUGGGCAGGUGGGGCAUUCCACAGCCUUGGGGUCUUCCCAUGGGAAUCGGGAGGUCCCAAGGCAGAGGCAGUGGUUCCACAGGAGGAGUCACAGAGCCACCAAGGGCUCUCCUGGCCCAGGGAGCAGUCAACACCAUGGACUGAACACCUGCUGGGCUCAAAGUCCUGGUCCAUACUGGGGCAUGUGGGGCCAGGAGGGAACUCGGAGUGGGAGGCAGAGAGACAAGUGUGCUCAGAGGGCACCCGUUUCUGGAAGUAGUGUGGUCCAGAGAUUUUGGCUGGGAAGGACUUCCAGAGUUUCAUAUGUGUUGUGGAGCUGCUUCCUCUCCCCAGCCUCACCCUGCAGGAAUGCCACUGAAUAUGUUGUCGCCAUCUUGGAGCUCAGUGCCCUCAUAGUGUAAUGGCACCAGCAGAUCUGCCUGUGCACGGACUUCCUGUACUACCUCAUUCCUGAGGAGCAAUGCUUCUGCAGGGCCUCUGACUUGGUGCACAACUUCAGACACCAUCAUCCUGGAGCAGUACCGCACCCUCACUAGCCAGGGUGUUGAUGACUUCCUCAAGGCCAAGCCCACGUUCAAGGCUUCGGACUUCAUUGAUGCACUUGUGCUGAGCAAGGCAGGCUUCUCCGGGAUCUUAAUUCAGGAGGUAGAAUGGAGCUUGAGAUCAAGCAUCUGAUGAAAGAACUUGCACUUGAUCUGGAGGGCUCUGGGGAGCCAUGAAAGGUGCUGGAUAAAGGAGUGGCAGUCAGAUUCGUUUUAGAGAUGACUGUAGAAGGCUGCCUAGGAGUGAACAAGAGCCAGGAGACCAGGGAGGGAGCUUGUGGGGCAGGUCUGGAGAUGGCAAGGGAGGGAUCCUGCUUGGAUGAAAGGUCUUCAGGCACUGUCUCAUGUUACACUCAGGUGCCCUCAGAGCUAGUAUGUUGAGUCUUACCUCCAGGAUGAAAAUGGGAAGGAGUUGUCAGACGAGGACAUAGAAAUGGAGGCUGGCAUAUUCAUGAGUGCCGGUGGUGGUCCCAGUGUGGGACUACUGUGGGAACAGGGGUCUUUCCAUUCAGGGAUGUGGUGGAUGGACUCUGCGUCACUCCAUUCUGCCCUUCCUUUCCCUCCUCCCAUUCUCCUAAAAGCCUCAGUGCAUGGGCGCUGUU